GUUUUAUUCCUUUGAUGAGCAAAACAGAGCUGAGCCAAACCAUUUUUUAAUCAAGCAUGUUCAAGAGACAACCUGCCCACAUGGUGAUAACAUCAAAAUCUCUCCAGAUUGAGCCUUUGGCUGGAAGGACUGCUUGACCUGCUUGACUUUUGACUCCAGACCCCCUCCUGCAUACAGGAUUAGAUCUUCAGAAUCUCAGGAUGCAAUCCAGCACCACUUUCAGCAAAACUUCCAUAAAUCCUCAUCUCUGUCCAGUAACACAAGCACCCGGCUUGUCCAGAAGGCCUGUUUGAAUGUGAACAUGAAGCACCUUGUCCUAAUGGCUAUUAGUGUCCAUCGUGAAAGCAUGACAACUUGAGGACAAAUCUGACAUCAACAAUGCUGAGAGAAAAGCAGAGAAAUAUUGCUAGAACCCUAAUUAAAC
Molecule: long non-coding RNA, 424 nt
Filed under: Vulpes vulpes (red fox)
Lineage: Eukaryota; Metazoa; Chordata; Mammalia; Carnivora; Canidae
Description: lncRNA (ENSVVUG00000014386.1)
Source: RNAcentral